AGUGAACGCUGGCGGCAGGCCUAACACAUGCAAGUCGAACGGCAGCACAGUAAGAGCUUGCUCUUACGGGUGGCGAGUGGCGGACGGGUGAGGAAUACAUCGGAAUCUACUUUUUCGUGGGGGAUAACGUAGGGAAACUUACGCUAAUACCGCAUACGACCUACGGGUGAAAGCAGGGGAUCUUCGCACCUUGCGCGAUUGAAUGAGCCGAUGUCGGAUUAGCUAGUUGGCGGGGUAAAGGCCCACCAAGGCGACGAUCCGUAGCUGGUCUGAGAGGAUGAUCAGCCACACUGGAACUGAGACACGGUCCAGACUCCUACGGGAGGCAGCAGUGGGGAAUAUUGGACAAUGGUCGCAAGCCUGAUCCAGCCAUACCGCGUGGGUGAAGAAGGCCUUCGGGUUGUAAAGCCCUUUUGUUGGGAAAGAAAAGCAGCAGGUUAAUACCCCGCUGUUCUGACGGUACCCAAAGAAUAAGCACCGGCUAACUUCGUG
This 492-nucleotide ribosomal RNA is filed under the name uncultured bacterium. RNAcentral's name for it is "partial 16S ribosomal RNA". It matches the Rfam family "Bacterial small subunit ribosomal RNA", at positions 29 to 507 of the family's 1533-position model. The record is from RNAcentral.